UACGUAGGGGGCAAGCGUUGUCCGGAUUUAUUGGGCGUAAAGAGCGUGUAGGCGGCCAGGUAGGUCAGCUGUGAAAACUCGAGGCUCAACCUCGAGACGUCGGUUGAAACCACCUGGCUAGAGUCCGGAAGAGGAGAGUGGAAUUCCUGGUGUAGCGGUGAAAUGCGCAGAUAUCAGGAGGAACACCGAUUGCGAAGGCAGCUCGCUGGGACGUAACUGACGCUGAGACGCGAAAGCGUGGGGAGCAAACAGG
RNAcentral lists this ribosomal RNA (253 nucleotides) under uncultured bacterium. RNAcentral's name for it is "partial 16S ribosomal RNA". It matches the Rfam family "Bacterial small subunit ribosomal RNA", at positions 524 to 776 of the family's 1533-position model. The record is from RNAcentral.